RNAcentral lists this unclassified non-coding RNA (360 nucleotides) under soil metagenome. Its description in RNAcentral is "partial contains 5.8S ribosomal RNA, internal transcribed spacer 2, and large subunit ribosomal RNA". The stretch from base 1 to 120 matches the Rfam family "5.8S ribosomal RNA", at positions 35 to 154 of the family's 154-position model. The record is from RNAcentral.
GAUGAAGAACGUAGCGAAAUGCGAUAAGUAAUGCGAAUUGCAGAAUUCAGUGAAUCAUCGAAUCUUUGAACGCACAUUGCGCCCGCCAGUAUUCUGGCGGGCAUGCCUGUCUGAGCGUCGUUUCGACCCUCGCGCCCGGCCUCUGUCGGGGGCGGUGUUGGGGAUCGGCCACACCCUUCAGUGGGAGGCCGGCCCCUAAAUUCAGUGGCGACCACGCUGUAGCCUCCCCUGCGUAGUACUAAACCCACCUCGCAGGCGGAGAGCGGUGCGGCCCGCCGUAAAACCCCCCAACUUUUACAAGGUCGACCUCAGAUCAGGUAGGAAUACCCGCUGAACUUAAGCAUAUCAAUAAGCGGAGGA